UACGGAGGGUGCGAGCGUUAAUCGGAAUUACUGGGCGUAAAGCGUGCGUAGGCGGCCCGUUAAGCCAGAUGUGAAAGCCCCGGGCUCAACCUGGGAACGGCAUUUGGUACUGGUGGGCUGGAGUUGGGUAGAGGGGGGCGGAAUUCCGGGUGUAGCGGUGAAAUGCGUAGAUAUCCGGAGGAACACCCGUGGCGAAGGCGGCCCCCUGGACCCGAACUGACGCUGAGGCACGAAAGCGUGGGUAGCAAACAGG
This 253-nucleotide ribosomal RNA is filed under the name uncultured bacterium. Its description in RNAcentral is "partial 16S ribosomal RNA". It matches the Rfam family "Bacterial small subunit ribosomal RNA", at positions 524 to 776 of the family's 1533-position model. The record is from RNAcentral.